GGGAGUAUAGCUCAGUUGGUUAGAGUGCUUGCUUGACAUGCAAGAGGUCACUGGUUCGAGCCCAGUUAUUCCCACCA
Molecule: transfer RNA, 77 nt
Filed under: Clostridia bacterium
Lineage: Bacteria; Bacillati; Bacillota; Clostridia
Description: tRNA-Val
Rfam family: tRNA
About the family: Transfer RNA (tRNA) molecules are approximately 80 nucleotides in length. Their secondary structure includes four short double-helical elements and three loops (D, anti-codon, and T loops). Further hydrogen bonds mediate the characteristic L-shaped molecular structure. tRNAs have two regions of fundamental functional importance: the anti-codon, which is responsible for specific mRNA codon recognition, and the 3' end, to which the tRNAs corresponding amino acid is attached (by aminoacyl-tRNA synthetases). tRNAs cope with the degeneracy of the genetic code in two manners: having more than one tRNA (with a specific anti-codon) for a particular amino acid; and 'wobble' base-pairing, i.e. permitting non-standard base-pairing at the 3rd anti-codon position.
Source: RNAcentral